UAUAGUGCUAUGCUGGACAUCUCGCAGUCAAUUCGUUUUGAUGAUGAUGUGGAGGAUGGAAAAAGUCAUGAACUCAAAGUGUACUCUCUGGACCGUAUAAGAGCUGUUACAAUUAAUUUUAGUGACUCUAACAAGCUUGGAGAAGGAGGAUUUGGUCCUGUCUAUAUGGGAACUUUACCUGGGGGAGAAGUAGCUGUGAAGAGGCUUUGUAGGAAUUCAGGUCAAGGCCUUGAAGAAUUCAAGAAUGAGGUCAUACUUAUUGCAAAGUUCUAGCACCGCAAUCUUGUAAGAUUACUAGGGUGCUGCAUACAGAGGGAAGAGAAGAUCCAGGUGUAUGAGUACAUGCCUAGCAAAAGUCUAGAUGCAUUCCUCUUCAAUCCUGAAAAGCAACGGCUUUUAGACUGAAGAAACAGUUUGAUAUAAUCGAAGGCAUUGCUAGAGGGCUGCUAUAUCUCCACCGGGAUUCGAGGCUGCGAGUUGUUCACCGUGAUCUCAAGGCCAGCAACAUUCUCUUGGACGCGGACAUGAAACCCAAGAUAUCAGAUUUUGGAAUGGCAAGGAUGUUUGGAGGGGACCAAAACCAAUUCAACACGAAUCGGGUCGUCGGUAUAUUUGGCUACAUGUCUACUGAAUACGCAAUGGAAGGUAUUUUCUCCGUCAAGUCUGACGUCUAUGGCUUCGGAGUCCUGAUCUUAAGCUUCCACUGUCACGAGGACUCCUUGAACAUCGCUGGAUAUGUAAACACUGGUGGUUACUAAGAUAAUUAGAGACAAGGGGGCAGGUUGAUGUGCUUGCAAGUAUCUG
This is a long non-coding RNA of Zea mays, 804 nucleotides long. RefSeq lists it as uncharacterized. The record is from RefSeq and is a predicted model, not a curated record. NCBI's taxonomy places the organism in Eukaryota, Viridiplantae, Streptophyta, Magnoliopsida, Poales, Poaceae. The transcript has 4 exons.